This is a long non-coding RNA of Mytilus trossulus (common blue mussel), 423 nucleotides long. RefSeq lists it as uncharacterized. The record is from RefSeq and is a predicted model, not a curated record. Lineage: Eukaryota; Metazoa; Mollusca; Bivalvia; Mytilida; Mytilidae. The transcript is spliced from 3 exons.
AUUUUAUAAUACGAAACUACGUACUAUUUUUAGGUACACAACUUCCGGAAAGAAGAAAAUGUGCUGAUCUUUGAUCACGAACCUGUAAACAGUGGGAAAAAAUCUAAUUUAUAGACAAUCGGUGUAUACGAUCUGUAUGUCAACCCAGUAAAACCAAAGACACAAAAAGGAAAGAGGAAACAGUCUUCAACCUCAUCAAAUAAACAAACCAAGAAACGAAAAUCAAGAAAAUCCAGUUCCUCAGACUCUGAUAUCACUGACAAUCAACCACAAGGGUCAGGUCAAAUAAGUCAAAGGAAAACAAGACAGAGACAAAUUAAAUUUUUGGGCCGAAGCAUUAAACAUGAAUGGAUAAUUGAUGAAACUUCACAACAAAAAGAAUGGUAUAAAGGGACUGUAGUAUCUUUGAUAUCUGGAACUGAU